RNAcentral lists this ribosomal RNA (886 nucleotides) under uncultured archaeon. RNAcentral's name for it is "bacterial SSU rRNA". It matches the Rfam family "Archaeal small subunit ribosomal RNA", at positions 5 to 879 of the family's 1478-position model. The record is from RNAcentral.
CGGUUGAUCCUGCCGGACCCGACUGCUAUUUGGGUGAGGAUAAGCCAUGCGAGUCGAAUGGGAUACCGAAAUUUCUCAUGGCGGGGGGCUCAGUAACACAUGAUCAACUAACCCUAUAGAGAAAAAUAACCUCGGGCAACUGAGGAUAAUGUUUCAGAGGUGAAAAGGCUUGCUGAAGUUUUUCAACCAAUGGAUAAAAAAUGGUUUUUAUCCGCUAUAGGAUAGGAUCGUGGUCGAUUAUGGUUGUUGGUGAGGUAACGGCUCACCAAGCCGAUAAUCGAUAGGGGCCGUGAGAGCGGGAGCCCCGAGAUGGGUACUGAGACAACGACCCAGGCCUUACGAGGCGCAGCAGGCGCGGAACCUCCGCAAUACACGAAAGUGUGACGGGGUUACCCAAAGUGUUCAAUUUUGAACUGUGGUAGGUGAGUAAUGUUCCCUACUAGAAAGGAGAGGGCAAGGCUGGUGCCAGCCGCCGCGGUAAAACCAGCUCUUCAAGUGGUCGGGAUAAUUAUUGGGCUUAAAGUGUCCGUAGCCGGUUUAGUAAGUUCCUGGUAAAAUCGGGUAGCUUAACUAUCCGUAUGCUAGGAAUACUGCUAUACUAGAGGGCGGGAGAGGUCUGAGGUACUACAGGGGUAGGGGUGAAAUCUUAUAAUCCUUGUAGGACCACCAGUGGCGAAGGCGUCAGACUGGAACGCGCCUGACGGUGAGGGACGAAAGCCAGGGGAGCGAACCGGAUUAGAUACCCGGGUAGUCCUGGCCGUAAACGAUGCAUACUAGGUGAUGGUAUGGCCAUGAGCCAUAUCAGUGCCGUAGGGAAACCGUUAAGUGUGCCGCCUGGGAAGUACGGUCGCAAGGCUAAAACUUAAAGGAAUUGGCGGGGGAGCAC